This 700-nucleotide ribosomal RNA is filed under the name uncultured bacterium. RNAcentral describes it as "bacterial SSU rRNA". It matches the Rfam family "Bacterial small subunit ribosomal RNA", at positions 57 to 770 of the family's 1533-position model. The record is from RNAcentral.
GCAGUCGACGAUGAAGGGAAGCUUGCUUUCUGGAUUAGUGGCGAACGGGUGAGUAACACGUGAGUAACCUGCCCUUGACUCUGGGAUAAGCACUGGAAACGGUGUCUAAUACCGGAUACGAACUUCCACCGCAUGGUGAGGGGUUGGAAAGAAUUUUGGUCAAGGAUGGACUCGCGGCCUAUCAGCUAGUUGGUGAGGUAAUGGCUCACCAAGGCGACGACGGGUAGCCGGCCUGAGAGGGUGACCGGCCACACUGGGACUGAGACACGGCCCAGACUCCUACGGGAGGCAGCAGUGGGGAAUAUUGCACAAUGGGCGCAAGCCUGAUGCAGCAACGCCGCGUGAGGGACGAAGGCCUUCGGGUUGUAAACCUCUUUUAGUAGGGAAGAAGCGUAAAAGUGACGGUACCUGCAGAAAAAGCACCGGCUAACUACGUGCCAGCAGCCGCGGUAAUACGUAGGGUGCAAGCGUUAUCCGGAAUUAUUGGGCGUAAAGAGCUCGUAGGCGGUUUGUCGCGUCUGCUGUGAAAUCUGGGGGCUCAACCCCCAGCCUGCAGUGGGUACGGGCAGACUAGAGUGCGGUAGGGGAGAUUGGAAUUCCUGGUGUAGCGGUGGAAUGCGCAGAUAUCAGGAGGAACACCAAUGGCGAAGGCAGAUCUCUGGGCCGUAACUGACGCUGAGGAGCGAAAGCAUGGGGAGCG